UAAUACGGAGGGUGCAAGCGUUAAUCGGAAUUACUGGGCGUAAAGCGCACGCAGGCGGUUUGUUAAGUCAGAUGUGAAAUCCCCGCGCUUAACGUGGGAACUGCAUUUGAAACUGGCAAGCUAGAGUCUUGUAGAGGGGGGUAGAAUUCCAGGUGUAGCGGUGAAAUGCGUAGAGAUCUGGAGGAAUACCGGUGGCGAAGGCGGCCCCCUGGACAAAGACUGACGCUCAGGUGCGAAAGCGUGGGGAGCAAACAGGAUUAGAUACCCUGGUAGUCCACGCUGUAAACGAUGUCGACUUGGAGGUUGUGCCCUUGAGGCGUGGCUUCCGGAGCUAACGCGUUAAGUCGACCGCCUGGGGAGUACGGCCGCAAGGUUA
RNAcentral lists this ribosomal RNA (376 nucleotides) under uncultured bacterium. Its description in RNAcentral is "bacterial SSU rRNA". It matches the Rfam family "Bacterial small subunit ribosomal RNA", at positions 521 to 896 of the family's 1533-position model. The record is from RNAcentral.